UACGUAGGUGGCAAGCGUUGUCCGGAUUUACUGGGCGUAAAGGGCGUGCAGGCGGUUUGUUUAGUCUAGGGUGAAAGCUCCCGGCUUAACUGGGAGAGGUCCUUGGAUACUGGCAAACUUGAGGGAGGCAGAGGAAAGUGGAAUUCCCGGUGUAGUGGUGAUAUGCGUAGAUAUCGGGAGGAACACCAAUGGCGAAGGCAGCUCGCUGGGACGUUACUGACGCUGAGACGCGAAAGCGUGGGGAGCAAACAGG
This 253-nucleotide ribosomal RNA is filed under the name uncultured bacterium. Its description in RNAcentral is "partial 16S ribosomal RNA". It matches the Rfam family "Bacterial small subunit ribosomal RNA", at positions 524 to 776 of the family's 1533-position model. The record is from RNAcentral.